CAGUGAUGAAGGCCAGGAUAUAAACGCCUAGUGUUCACCUCUAAUAUUUCCUUACAUCUUCCAAUGCUGCCCGGUACCCUGUCACACCUCCUAUUGCACUUUCUAUAAUAGUUACCCCCACGCACGUGGUCAGCUUGGAUCAUCACCCAUUAAAUUCCUACCACCACUUCUCGGUGGGUCUUCAGUCGAGCAGCAUCGCGGUGUUAAAUGAUCGUGCAACCACCGUACUUUUCACUUCCGCUGUGUUCUUCAAAAAGUACAGCAUUCUAGACAUCGGAUUUGAAUGCAAGAAAGCCAGUUCCAGAACAGCGAGAGUACUCCUCUGAACAUCAGUACAAUGGCCAAGCUACGCCUGUCUCUGGUGUAAGGGACCAACCGAUGUCUGAGGCUACCAGGGUCAUUUUGCACUCAAUCUCCUAACACCUGGGCAUCGAUGGCAUGGAUCCUGAAGUUUGGAGUGCUACCUGAUGAAGGGAAACCAAAAACCUGAAUCAAUUGAAGCUAGGAUCAUUACCAAUCAGAAGAUUGAAGCCAGCUUCAAACUUAUAAACUCUAGUGUUGUGGUAAAAGCAAUGAGAUACGCUCUUUAUCAAAGUCCUUGGUUUGUCCUCGAUAACGAUCGAAAGAUAAUUUGAAUGUUUGUGUUCCAUUGUAACUGCCUUGGACACAUGCUCAAACCUCUGUCAAAACCCAAAUUGGAAAGUUUGGAACAAUACAGGCAAUUCACAAUAGUGUGCCUCGUGUUGGCCAAUCACAGCAUGCAAAAUCUGUUGACCCUUUCCAAAUGUGCAUUGCGUUGAUGGAUUUUGCGCAUUUUGAUUUGCCUACGCGCUGCAAACUCUUGGAGGUGCACUAUUGUGAAACGGCCGUAUUGUUCAACAGAGGAACUCCAGAAUGACCUCUGGACUUACAAACUGAGCUCAUAUAUCUAAAAUACCAAUUUUGCUGGAAACAUUUUGAGUGCUGAAUUCUAAUAAACAGGUCUGUAUGACGUCCAUGCAAUAUUGGUGGGACAAAACUGUUUCUUUUUUUCCUGAUGUUUCAAUUCAUAUCUCAGAAUUCUGAAACUUGUUAAAGUGCAAACAAACUGUUUCAACAAUAAAUUAAUAUCCUCAUUACGCAAAAUGUGUUUCUUUUAUCAGUUAUUGGUUUCACUUUGCUGCACGCAGUUAAAAGGAAUUUUAGAAAGAUGUGCCGUUUCAUGUUUGAGAUGAUAUGGGAGAAUUCGGGGGCUUAAUCUCAGUGCCUUACAUGCAAGGUUUAAUCAACUUUGCUAUCAGAUGUUCUUGGACCCUCUAAACAUUAAGAAUUCUCGGAUUAUUAUUUAAACAAAGUUUUUUUUUUAUCAUUUCACAAUCUUUGAAAAUGUAUGCCUGUGUGCUUGACCCUCCCCCCUCAAAAAAACUGCUCAAACUUGGCGGACAAUCAUUUGCAACAUUCAAGCUGGGAACCAA
Molecule: long non-coding RNA, 1454 nt
Organism: Acanthaster planci (crown-of-thorns starfish)
Lineage: Eukaryota; Metazoa; Echinodermata; Asteroidea; Valvatida; Acanthasteridae
Source: RefSeq, a predicted model, not a curated record